RNAcentral lists this unclassified non-coding RNA (1273 nucleotides) under Hevea brasiliensis (rubber tree). Lineage: Eukaryota; Viridiplantae; Streptophyta; Magnoliopsida; Malpighiales; Euphorbiaceae. The record is from RNAcentral.
GGAUAAUAUAGUUUUUUAUUUGGUCAAAAUAUAGUUUUAAAAUAAAUAUAUAAAUUAUAAGUAAGGGGUAUCUUACUUAUGACUUUUAACUUAUUUUAAGUAGUUUUUUACUUAUAAGCUAAACUAAACACUAGUCCACUUAUGAUUUUUAACUUAUAAAUAGGUUUGACCGACUUAUAAGUCAAACUAAACACUCUCUUAAUAGGUGCAUAUUUAUCCUUAUAAGGAAAUCCCAAGCUAACUUUAUCUAACCCUGCGUCGUUACCUACUCAUCUUCUCUUCUUCCUUCCUUUCCUAUCAUCUUCUUUUGUUCUCCCUCAAUUCGCACCUACGGUUUAUGGUAUCCCUUAACAUCAUCACUCUCACCACUUACUUCCUUUCAAUUUCAUCCUUUCCCUUAAUCACCUUUCUUCCUUUCAUUUCUUCAAACUCUCUCUCUCUUUUGCUCAGCCACCAGCCAAUGUUGCAUGUGCCUCCUUGAAGGCUUUUUUUUUGUUCUUUUUGCAAUUUUCAAUUCUUUUUUGGGGCUUACAAUCAGCAACCUACUAAUUGGCAGUGAUGGUAAAUGAAGUUACUGCUUUUUGUUUCCUUUCGUCCUCCACUUUCUCCUUAAUGGCGUUAAAUUGAAGAAAAAAAAAGUUUGGAACAAUUUGGAACCAAGAAAAUGAAAGCUUUAUCAUUUGAAUACUUUUCUUUAUUUUUUUCUCUAAAAUUUGUAAUAUUAUUGUUGAUUGUGGUUUUGAGUUAUUCUGUUUCACUAUAUUUUGAGUUGUGUGAUUUUGAGUUAAUUUGUGCAAUUUCUCUUAUGUAUUUUUAUUUUGAUAUUAUGAGUUUUUGAUAGAAGUUCAUAUAAUAUUAAGAUUAAUUUUGAAUUUCAUUUUAUACUAUAAAUUUGUUGUGAAUUGUAUAUUGUGAUUAUGCAUAAACACUUUCCCAUCUAACUUGGAUGAAAUGUUAGCCCUUUUUUUGGGUGUGAAGUAAGCCCAAAACAAAUGUUCAAAAUGAAUUGUAGAAAUGAAGAAUAAAAUCAAACUAAACUAUUUUCGUUAGGUUUAAGUCAAUUUGAUUUUUAUCUCUUAUUUAGUUUGGUUUAGUUUUUAGGGCAAAGUACACUUUAGUACCUUGUACUUUGGCCUUUUUAGCAUUGAAGAUAUGUACUUUAUUUUGUUACAAUUAAGGACAAGAACUUUAGCUUUAUUUGUGCUAACAGUGUUAAAUAAUGCUAACGUGGUAUGCUAAUAUGAUGCCAUGUAUGACAUGGUGCUAAUGUGGU